GGGGAUUUAGCUCAGCGGCAUAAGUGCCUGCCUUGCAAGCAGGCAGUCGUGAAUUCAGUUCGAUCCCCA
RNAcentral lists this transfer RNA (69 nucleotides) under Cavia porcellus (domestic guinea pig). It matches the Rfam family "tRNA". Rfam says of the family: Transfer RNA (tRNA) molecules are approximately 80 nucleotides in length. Their secondary structure includes four short double-helical elements and three loops (D, anti-codon, and T loops). Further hydrogen bonds mediate the characteristic L-shaped molecular structure. tRNAs have two regions of fundamental functional importance: the anti-codon, which is responsible for specific mRNA codon recognition, and the 3' end, to which the tRNAs corresponding amino acid is attached (by aminoacyl-tRNA synthetases). tRNAs cope with the degeneracy of the genetic code in two manners: having more than one tRNA (with a specific anti-codon) for a particular amino acid; and 'wobble' base-pairing, i.e. permitting non-standard base-pairing at the 3rd anti-codon position. The record is from Rfam by way of RNAcentral. Lineage: Eukaryota; Metazoa; Chordata; Mammalia; Rodentia; Caviidae.